This 174-nucleotide ribosomal RNA is filed under the name uncultured zygomycete. RNAcentral's name for it is "partial 18S ribosomal RNA". It matches the Rfam family "Eukaryotic small subunit ribosomal RNA", at positions 1661 to 1831 of the family's 1831-position model. Lineage: Eukaryota; Fungi. The record is from RNAcentral.
UGUACACACCGCCCGUCGCUACUACCGAUUGAAUGGUUAUAGUGAGCAUAUGGGAUCCGAUGGAUCGAGCUGGCAACAGCUCUUUCCUGCGGAGAACUAUGGCAAACUAGGCUAUUUAGAGGAAGUAAAAGUCGUAACAAGGUUUCCGUAGGUGAACCUGCGGAAGGAUCAUUA